This 400-nucleotide ribosomal RNA is filed under the name uncultured cyanobacterium. Its description in RNAcentral is "bacterial SSU rRNA". It matches the Rfam family "Bacterial small subunit ribosomal RNA", at positions 355 to 770 of the family's 1533-position model. Lineage: Bacteria; Bacillati; Cyanobacteriota. The record is from RNAcentral.
UGGGGAAUUUUCCGCAAUGGGCGAGAGCCUGACGGAGCAACGCCGCGUGAGGGAGGAAGGUCUGUGGAUUGUAAACCUCUUUUGUUAGGGAAGAAGCUCUGACGGUACCUAACGAAUAAGCAUCGGCUAACUCCGUGCCAGCAGCCGCGGUAAGACGGAGGAUGCAAGCGUUAUCCGGAAUUAUUGGGCGUAAAGCGUCCGUAGGCGGUUUUUCAAGUCUGUUGUUAAAGACUGGGGCUCAACCCUGGAUAGGCGAUGGAAACUGAGGGACUAGAGUGCGGUAGGGGUAGAGGGAAUUCCUAGUGUAGCGGUGAAAUGCGUAGAUAUUAGGAAGAACACCAGUGGCGAAGGCGCUCUACUGGGCCGCAACUGACGCUGAUGGACGAAAGCUAGGGGAGCG